Molecule: ribosomal RNA, 617 nt
Filed under: Salmonella enterica
Lineage: Bacteria; Pseudomonadati; Pseudomonadota; Gammaproteobacteria; Enterobacterales; Enterobacteriaceae
Also listed under: 1 other name
Description: partial 23S ribosomal RNA
Rfam family: Bacterial large subunit ribosomal RNA
Source: RNAcentral
CCGACCUUGAAAUACCACCCUUUAAUGUUUGAUGUUCUAACGUGGACCCGUUACCCGGGUUGCGGACAGUGUCUGGUGGGUAGUUUGACUGGGGCGGUCUCCUCCUAAAGAGUAACGGAGGAGCACGAAGGUUGGCUAAUCCUGGUCGGACAUCAGGAGGUUAGUGCAAUGGCAUAAGCCAGCUUGACUGCGAGCGUGACGGCGCGAGCAGGUGCGAAAGCAGGUCAUAGUGAUCCGGUGGUUCUGAAUGGAAGGGCCAUCGCUCAACGGAUAAAAGGUACUCCGGGGAUAACAGGCUGAUACCGCCCAAGAGUUCAUAUCGACGGCGGUGUUUGGCACCUCGAUGUCGGCUCAUCACAUCCUGGGGCUGAAGUAGGUCCCAAGGGUAUGGCUGUUCGCCAUUUAAAGUGGUACGCGAGCUGGGUUUAGAACGUCGUGAGACAGUUCGGUCCCUAUCUGCCGUGGGCGCUGGAGAACUGAGGGGGGCUGCUCCUAGUACGAGAGGACCGGAGUGGACGCAUCACUGGUGUUCGGGUUGUCAUGCCAAUGGCACUGCCCGGUAGCUAAAUGCGGAAGAGAUAAGUGCUGAAAGCAUCUAAGCACGAAACUUGCCCCGA